CCUACGGGGUGCAGCAGUGGGGAAUAUUGGACAAUGGGCGAAAGCCUGAUCCAGCCAUGCCGCGUGUGUGAAGAAGGCCUUCGGGUUGUAAAGCACUUUCAGUGGGGAAGAAAGCCUUGGGGCUAAUACCCUCGAGGAAGGACAUCACCCACAGAAGAAGCACCGGCUAACUCCGUGCCAGCAGCCGCGGUAAUACGGAGGGUGCGAGCGUUAAUCGGAAUUACUGGGCGUAAAGCGCGCGUAGGCGGUCUGAUAAGCCGGUUGUGAAAGCCCCGGGCUCAACCUGGGAACGGCAUCGGAACUGUCAGGCUAGAGUGCAGGAGAGGAAGGUAGAAUUCCCGGUGUAGCGGUGAAAUGCGUAGAGAUCGGGAGGAAUACCAGUGGCGAAGGCGGCCUUCUGGACUGACACUGACGCUGAGGUGCGAAAGCGUGGGUAGCAAACAGGAUUAGAUACCCUAGUAGUC
Molecule: ribosomal RNA, 464 nt
Filed under: Vreelandella stevensii
Lineage: Bacteria; Pseudomonadati; Pseudomonadota; Gammaproteobacteria; Oceanospirillales; Halomonadaceae
Description: partial 16S ribosomal RNA
Rfam family: Bacterial small subunit ribosomal RNA
Source: RNAcentral